UUUAAUUAUCUUUAAUUCGUUUGGCUUAAAAAUGGGGUCGUGAUUUCAGUAUUUGCAGAGCGUUACUUGUUGAGUUUUGCAGCAAAAUGAGCUUGUGUAAUUGUUCAGUUGUUUUACCAGGUGGCUCUUUUUUCUGCUCUUUUUAGCGUACUAGGUUUUUUUUCCCCUUACAUUUUCUUCUGAAGCUGGAUUUUGAGCUGUAAUGGCUGUCAUCUCCUCCUAAUC
This 225-nucleotide long non-coding RNA is filed under the name Panax ginseng (ginseng). RNAcentral describes it as "long non-coding RNA (PGIN_LNC001359)". The record is from RNAcentral. Lineage: Eukaryota; Viridiplantae; Streptophyta; Magnoliopsida; Apiales; Araliaceae.